GACGAACGCUGGCGGCGUGCUUAACACAUGCAAGUUGAACGGGGCAUAUAUUUGACAGACUUUUCGGAGUUUAGAAGAUAUAUGUUUAGUAGCGGACGGGUGAGUAAUGCAUGAGAACCUGCCCUUCAGAGGAGGACAACAGCUGGAAACGGUUGCUAAUACCCCAUAAGCCGAGAGGUAAAAGGAGUAAUCCGCUGAGGGAGGGGCUCAUGUCCUAUCAGCUAGUUGGUAAGGUAACGGCUUACCAAGGCGAAGACGGGUAGCCGGCCUGAGAGGGCGAUCGGCCACACUGGAACUGAGAUACGGUCCAGACUCCUACGGGAGGCAGCAGUGGGGAAUAUUGGGCAAUGGGCGCAAGCCUGACCCAGCGACGCCGCGUGAGGGAAGAAGGCCCUUGGGUCGUAAACCUCUGUUGUAUGGGAAGAAGGACGUGACGGUACCAUACGAGGAAGUCCCGGCUAACUACGUGCCAGCAGCCGCGGUAAAGUCUGUACU
This 495-nucleotide ribosomal RNA is filed under the name uncultured bacterium. Its description in RNAcentral is "bacterial SSU rRNA". It matches the Rfam family "Bacterial small subunit ribosomal RNA", at positions 28 to 531 of the family's 1533-position model. The record is from RNAcentral.